AGAGUUUGAUUCUGGCUCAGGAUGAACGCUAGCGGCAGGCCUAAUACAUGCAAGUCGAACGGUAAACGCCCCUUCGGGGGUGUGAGAGUGGCGCACGGGUGCGUAACGCGUAUGCAACCCACCCGCUGCCGGGGGAUAGCCCGGAGAAAUCCGAAUUAAUACCCCAUGAGGAGUGAGGGAGGCAUCUUCUUCAUUUCAAAACUUCGGUGGCGGCGGACGGGCAUGCGUGCCAUUAGAUAGUUGGCGGGGUGACGGCCCACCAAGUCGACGAUGGCUAGGGGAUCUGAGAGGACGGUCCCCCACACUGGUACUGAGACACGGACCAGACUCCUACGGGAGGCAGCAGUAAGGGAUAUUGGUCAAUGGGGGGAACCCUGAACCAGCCAAUGCCGCGUGAGGGAAUAAGGCCCUACGGGUCGUAAACCUCUUUUGCCGGGGGAUAAGGAUACCUACGUGUAGGUAUUUGAAGGUACCCGGAGAAUAAGCAUCGGCUAACUCCGUGCCAGCCGCAGC
This 513-nucleotide ribosomal RNA is filed under the name uncultured bacterium. Its description in RNAcentral is "bacterial SSU rRNA". It matches the Rfam family "Bacterial small subunit ribosomal RNA", at positions 8 to 518 of the family's 1533-position model. The record is from RNAcentral.